CGCCCGUAGCAAUACGGGAGCGGCAGACGGGUGAGUAACACGUGGGAACAUGCCCUUCGGUUCGGAAUAACUCAGGGAAACUUGAGCUAAUACCAAAUACGCCCGUACGGGGAAAGAUUUAUUGCCGAAGGAUUGGCCUGCGUCCGAUUAGCUAGUUGGUGGGGUAAAGGCUCACCAAGGCAGAGAUCGGUAGCCGGCCUGAGAGGGCACACGGCCACACUGGCACUGGAACACGGGCCAG
This 241-nucleotide ribosomal RNA is filed under the name uncultured bacterium. Its description in RNAcentral is "partial 16S ribosomal RNA". It matches the Rfam family "Bacterial small subunit ribosomal RNA", at positions 67 to 334 of the family's 1533-position model. The record is from RNAcentral.